RNAcentral lists this ribosomal RNA (512 nucleotides) under uncultured bacterium. Its description in RNAcentral is "partial 16S ribosomal RNA". It matches the Rfam family "Bacterial small subunit ribosomal RNA", at positions 28 to 507 of the family's 1533-position model. The record is from RNAcentral.
GAUGAACGCUGGCGGCGUGCCUAAUACAUGCAAGUCGAACGAAACUUCUUUAUCACCGAGUGCUUGCACUCACCGAUAAAGAGUUGAGUGGCGAACGGGUGAGUAACACGUGGGCAACCUGCCCAAAAGAGGGGGAUAACACUUGGAAACAGGUGCUAAUACCGCAUAACCAUAGUUACCGCAUGGUAACUAUGUAAAAGGUGGCUAUACUACCGCUUUUGGAUGGGCCCGCGGCGCAUUAGCUAGUUGGUAGGGUAAAGGCUUACCAAGGCAAUGAUGCGUAGCCGAAUUGAGAGGUUGAUCGGCCACAUUGGGACUGAGACACGGCCCAAACUCCUACUGGAGGCAGCAGUAGGGAAUCUUCCACAAUGGGCGAAAGCCUGAUGGAGCAACGCCGCGUGGGUGAAGAAGGUCUUCGGAUCGUAAAACCCUGUUGUUAGAGAAGAAAGUGCGUGAGAGUAACUGUUCACGUUUCGACGGUAUCUAACCAGAAAGCCACGGCUAACUACGUG